This 467-nucleotide ribosomal RNA is filed under the name uncultured bacterium. RNAcentral describes it as "partial 16S ribosomal RNA". It matches the Rfam family "Bacterial small subunit ribosomal RNA", at positions 28 to 506 of the family's 1533-position model. The record is from RNAcentral.
GACGAACGCUGGCGGCGUGCUUAACACAUGCAAGUCGAACGGAAAGGCCCUGCUUUUGUGGGGUGCUCGAGUGGCGAACGGGUGAGUAACACGUGAGUAACCUGCCCUUGACUUUGGGAUAACUUCAGGAAACUGGGGCUAAUACCGGAUAGGAGCUCCUGCUGCAUGGUGGGGGUUGGAAAGUUUCGGCGGUUGGGGAUGGACUCGCGGCUUAUCAGCAUGUUGGUGGGGUAGUGGCUUACCAAGGCUUUGACGGGUAGCCGGCCUGAGAGGGUGACCGGCCACAUUGGGACUGAGAUACGGCCCAGACUCCUACGGGAGGCAGCAGUGGGGAAUAUUGCACAAUGGGCGGAAGCCUGAUGCAGCAACGCCGCGUGCGGGAUGACGGCCUUCGGGUUGUAAACCGCUUUCGCCUGUGACGAAGCGUGAGGGACGGUAAUGGGUAAAGAAGCACCGGCUAACUACGU